Molecule: ribosomal RNA, 510 nt
Filed under: uncultured bacterium
Lineage: Bacteria
Description: bacterial SSU rRNA
Rfam family: Bacterial small subunit ribosomal RNA
Source: RNAcentral
GGCUCAGAUUGAACGCUGGCGGCGUGCUUAACACAUGCAAGUCGCGCGUGAAAGGACUUCGGUCCGAGUAAAGCGGCGCACGGGUGAGUAACGCGUGGAUGAUCUACCCAUGAGUUAGGAAUAACGGCUGGAAACGGUCGCUAAUACCAAAUACGCUCCGAUUUCAUCUCGGGGGAAAGUGCCUCUGCUUGCAAGCUACUGCUCAUGGAUGAGUCCGCGUCCCAUUAGCUAGUUGGUGGGGUAACGCCCACCAAGGCGACGAUGGGUAGCCGGUCUGAGAGGAUGACCGGCCACACUGGGACUGGAACACGGCCCAGACUCCUACGGGAGGCAGCAGUGGGGAAUAUUGCGCCAAUGGGCGAAAGCCUGACGCAGCGACGCCGCGUGAAGGGAUGAAGGUCCUCGGAUCGUAAACCUCUGUCAGGAGGGAAGAACCGCCACGGUGCUAAUCAGCCGUGGUCUGACGGUACCUCCAAAGGAAGCACCGGCUAACUCCGUGCCAGCAGCGGC